This 210-nucleotide ribosomal RNA is filed under the name uncultured bacterium. RNAcentral describes it as "partial 16S ribosomal RNA". It matches the Rfam family "Bacterial small subunit ribosomal RNA", at positions 524 to 729 of the family's 1533-position model. The record is from RNAcentral.
UACGUAGGGUGCAAGCGUUGUCCGGAAUUAUUGGGCGUAAAGAGCUCGUAGGCGGCUUGUCGCGUCGUCCGUGAAAAACCUGCAGCUCAACUGCAGGCUUGCGGUCGAUACGGGCAGGCUAGAGUUCGGUAGGGGGAGACUGGAAUUCCUGGUGUAGCGGUGAAAAUGCGCAGAUAUCAGGAGGAACACCGGUGGCGAAGGCGGGGUCUC